CUUGUACACACCGCCCGUCACACCAUGGGAGCGGGUUCUGCCAGAAGUAGUUAGCCUAACCGCAACGAGGGCGAUUACCACGGCAGGGUUCGGUGACGUGGGGUGG
This 106-nucleotide ribosomal RNA is filed under the name uncultured bacterium. RNAcentral's name for it is "partial 16S ribosomal RNA". It matches the Rfam family "Bacterial small subunit ribosomal RNA", at positions 1380 to 1483 of the family's 1533-position model. The record is from RNAcentral.